UGCUGGUGGUUUCAUUAGUCAGAGUGACAAGUGCAACCCUGGUUCCCUGAGCACACAACGAUCACAUCUGAGAGCUGCCAUGUGUGGGCCGAGCCAGACACAGGCACCUGGUGACAUCUGGGCACACAAAGCACAGCCAGCACUGGCAGGAGAACCACACCUGAUCCAGCACCAAGGUAAAGUGAAUCUGCUGAAGUCACCAGCAGCACUUCAAGGAAGUGACAGAUGGAUAACAGCAGCAGCAGCCAAAGAGCAAGAGAAUUUCUUUUUAGCUGGAGUGUGCUGCUCCCAGAAAGUCACAGCAAUUUUAAUAGGUGUUGAUCAUUUAUUCAAGUUACAGAAUUUCUUCUCCAAGGGUGGAACUUGCUGGAGAAUCUUUAGAUGAUGGAAGAACAACUCCCCUGAGGAAGACUCAUGGAAGCUGAAGAAGGCAAGUCACUGUUGUACAGACUGUUUUAUGUGACUGUAGGAUAUUUUAGAGAUGGAGGAGGUAAAACCAACCAAAGAAAAAAAUAACUGGAAACCCCCAAACCCCAGUUUCCCCAAAUGUGGAUUUAUUCCACUGCACUCAAAAGACACAAUUUCUAAUUUAGAAAUUCCAGGGUACAAGGCUGCAGUAGUUAGUAAAGCCCUGCAAUUUUAAUUGUUUGAGGAGUAUGUAUGAUGAAAAAAACAUCAUGUGGUU
Passer domesticus (house sparrow) is the source of this 685-nucleotide long non-coding RNA. RefSeq lists it as uncharacterized. The record is from RefSeq and is a predicted model, not a curated record. The transcript is spliced from 3 exons. Lineage: Eukaryota; Metazoa; Chordata; Aves; Passeriformes; Passeridae.